RNAcentral lists this ribosomal RNA (1091 nucleotides) under uncultured Bacillota bacterium. RNAcentral's name for it is "bacterial SSU rRNA". It matches the Rfam family "Bacterial small subunit ribosomal RNA", at positions 291 to 1373 of the family's 1533-position model. The record is from RNAcentral. Lineage: Bacteria; Bacillati; Bacillota.
GCAGUGAAGCUGACGGCCACACUGGGACUGAGACACGGCCCAGACUCCUACGGGAGGCAGCGAAUCUUCCGCAAUGGACGAAAGUCUGACGGAGCAACGCCGCGUGAGUGAUGAAGGUUUUCGGAUCGUAAAGCUCUGUUGUUAGGGAAGAACAAGUACCGUUCGAAUAGGGCGGUACCUUGACGGUACCUAACCAGAAAGCCACGGCUAACUACGUGCCAGCAGCCGCGGUAAUACGUAGGUGGCAAGCGUUGUCCGGAAUUAUUGGGCGUAAAGGGCUCGCAGGCGGUUUCUUAAGUCUGAUGUGAAAGCCCCCGGCUCAACCGGGGAGGGUCAUUGGAAACUGGGGAACUUGAGUGCAGAAGAGGAGAGUGGAAUUCCACGUGUAGCGGUGAAAUGCGUAGAGAUGUGGAGGAACACCAGUGGCGAAGGCGACUCUCUGGUCUGUAACUGACGCUGAGGAGCGAAAGCGUGGGGAGCGAACAGGAUUAGAUACCCUGGUAGUCCACGCCGUAAACGAUGAGUGCUAAGUGUUAGGGGGUUUCCGCCCCUUAGUGCUGCAGCUAACGCAUUAAGCACUCCGCCUGGGGAGUACGGUCGCAAGACUGAAACUCAAAGGAAUUGACGGGGGCCCGCACAAGCGGUGGAGCAUGUGGUUUAAUUCGAAGCAACGCGAAGAACCUUACCAGGUCUUGACAUCCUCUGACAAUCCUAGAGAUAGGACGUCCCCUUCGGGGGCAGAGUGACAGGUGGUGCAUGGUUGUCGUCAGCUCGUGUCGUGAGAUGUUGGGUUAAGUCCCGCAACGAGCGCAACCCUUGAUCUUAGUUGCCAGCAUUCAGUUGGGCACUCUAAGGUGACUGCCGGUGACAAACCGGAGGAAGGUGGGGAUGACGUCAAAUCAUCAUGCCCCUUAUGACCUGGGCUACACACGUGCUACAAUGGACAGAACAAAGGGCAGCGAAACCCGCGAGGUUAAGCCAAUCCCACAAUCUGUUCUCAGUUCGGAUCGCAGUCUGCAACUCGACUGCGUGAAGCUGGAAUCGCUAGUAAUCGCGGAUCAGCAUGGCGCGCCGCGCGGUGAAAUCCGGAU